CAGGGUGGGACCCAGCCUCACCCUGCAUGGUGCAGACCCCCCCGAAGCCACUCCAGGUGCCAGGCUUCCAGCUCACCCUCCACAGCCAGCAGACUCCCCAGGGGAUGAGGACCCCAAGCCCUGGUGGGACCCACCCCAUGAGGCCCCCUCACAGGCUACUUCCACCCACGUGGUGCUGCCUUUGCGCCACGCCAUGCCGGAAACUUCAAGGACAGGAGAGAGGUGCCCCACCAGGACACCAGCUUCUGCUCAGCAGUUCUCAGCCUGUGUCUUCGGUGCCCUGCGGGACACUUCUGCCCCAACAGAGCCACCCGCCCCAUCCCAUGCCAGCCGGGUACAUUUGGCCCCCGCUUAGGCCAGGAUGAAGCCACAGACUGCACCCCUUGCCCAGCAGGCAGGGCCUGUACCCAGGCUGGGCUGACACAGCCCGACGCAGCGUGCUCACCGGGGUAAGUGCCCGCCAUUUCUCAAUGAUGAGUGUCCCGAUGGGGGCCAGAGCCAUCCCCCUAACACCCUUAGAGAAUCAGUCCCAGGUCAAGGCCAGACUUCUCCCAGCCUCUGACCCUCUCAGAGCUCAGAGAGGGCUGUGCCCUCAGAUCAAAGCUCUGUCUCAGCCAGCCCAGGGCUCCAGGACUUGCCCCCGAGCACCGAGGCCCAGCACUGUCUCAGGUCCAUCCAUGCUCAGGAGGCAUCUAGGGAGCUGUCUUCCUGGCUUUGUCCAUGGAGAAAGCAGCUCAGAGAGGCCAGGUUACCGUGCAGACUCACAGAGCAGGCCAGGGGCACGGCGGGAUCUGGCCAUGACUCUCCAAGAUGCCGGGCUCUGCGUGGUGGGCACCAGGUGCCAACUCCCCUGCUGCUGUAGGAACCGGGGGCCCAGACCGGCCCCCCAUCCCCUGCUCAGCUGGCCAUUAUUGCCCUCCCGGCACCAAAAAGCCAACCCAGUUCCAGUGUCCUCCCGGCAUCUGGAGUAACCAGACUGGAUUGACCAUGAGCGAGGAGUGUAUGCCCUGCCCCAGGGGCUGGUUCUGUGUCAGUGGAGCUCAGGUGCCCUCAGGGACAUGCAGGGCCGGGCAUUACUGCCCAUGAGGUGAGUGGGGCCAGACUCUGCCCUGGCAAGGUUGCAGGCAAAUGCCAGGAGAGGGUGCCAUGGGCUGGCCUGUGCACCUCCUCUGGAGCAGAUGCAGCAGGAGAAGCCUGGUGUGCAACGGGAGAGGUGAAGGUUCCAUUUCAGGACCACCUUCCCGAGAGGAGGGCUGGGAGCAGCAGGAAGCUCGGGGAGGCUGUGGGGACAGAAGCCACCGGCAGGCUGGGGGCUGGAAGGGAUUGAUAAGCCUCAGAGCCUCCUAAAUGGGGGUUCCCAGGUGUCUCAGCCCAAAGCACAGCUUCCUAAAGACUGUGUCCUGGAGAGUGACACCCCCUCUCCCUGCCCCAUCCCCAGUGGCCUCCCCUGGGAACUGUCUCCAGGCAGCAGGUGAGGAGCUGGUGUGCCAGUGAUGACACAGGUCCGACCCCUCUUUCUUCCUCUGAACCCCUCUUCUCUCUGAAACAGGGACGAAGUGGGGGACACAGUUCCCCUGCCCAGCAGGCACCUACAGCUCCCAGGCAGGCAACGGCCAGCUCGAGGACUGUCUGCCCUACCCCCCAGGGGCCUUCUGCCCCAGUGGGGUCCCUGAGCCGGAGCUCUGCCAACGGUAAGGAGGCCGCAUGUGUGGUUGUUAUUGAGGCCAAAUCGCCACAUUCAUUGUGUGCCUGCUGGAGCCCAGCACUGGACACUGGUACCAAGGGAGAGGAGGGCCCAGCCUGCCCUCAGGACCUGGCCACCUUGUUGAAACAGGACACACAGGAACAGGAUGAGCUGGACCCAGGGCUAUAGGUGCCCCAGGUCAGGGGCACCCCUACAGCCAGGAAGUUGAACAAGAGAGAAUCACUCUGGGUUACAGUCAGUGGAGAAGCCAUCAGCUUGUGGUGACUCGAUUCAGCCUUAAAAGAUGGGCAGAGUGCCGGGCAUGAUGGCUUGUGUCUGUACUGACUGGAGUAACUGGCUUGGAUUGACCAUGAGCAAGGAGUGUGUGCUGAGGCAGGAAGAUUACUUGGGGCCAGGAGUUUGAGACCAGCCUGGGCAACAUGGUGAAACCCCGUCUCUAAAAAAAUAUAAGAAUUAGCCAGGCAUGGCAGCCUGUAGUCCCAGCUACUCAGGAAGCUGAGACGGGAAGAUUGCUUGAGCCCAAAAGUUCCAGGAUGCAGUGAGCUAUGAUCAUGCCGUGGUACCCCAGCCUGGGCUACAGAGCAAGACCUCAUCUCUAAAAUUAUAAAAAACUUAUUUAAAAGAUGAGCAGAGUCCAAGGAGGGAUGUGAAGGUAUCCCUGCUGAAGCAGCCGUGCACCAGCCCACCAUCCUGAAAAAAGAAGCUGUUUCAGAGCUGCCCACUCUAAAGGCCAAACCCCUCCUAAAGCUAAUUGCUGCAGAGAUCUCAGCAGAGAUCAUUUGGCCCAAGCUGUGGGAUUAUCUGUGGAUUUUACUGUUUUAUUAAAAUGUGCCUUUUAUUCCUCUGGUCAAAAAGAAAACUUAGGGUUUGUCUUACUAAAAACAAGCAAUACACAUUCUUCAUGUAAAAAGUGGAAAUGACAUUGAUCAAAACAAAUUUCAGAUAAAUGCAGAUUUCAAUUUUAAAAAGCCAAAAUCACAAAAUCACAAAGCAUAAAUAGAUAUUUAUAAAACUUGAGAGAAUGUGGAAAAUCUAAGCCUGGGCAACAAAAGUGAAACUCCGUCUCCAAAAAAAAAAAAAAAAAAAUGAGCCGACCUCCCUGGCAGCUUACAAGCAAGGGUUUAUAGAGGCAGGGGUAAAUGUCAGGAGAGAAAUUUACCCUUAUACA
This is a long non-coding RNA of Pan paniscus (pygmy chimpanzee), 2873 nucleotides long. NCBI's taxonomy places the organism in Eukaryota, Metazoa, Chordata, Mammalia, Primates, Hominidae. The record is from Ensembl.